Molecule: ribosomal RNA, 118 nt
Filed under: Thermoflexus hugenholtzii
Lineage: Bacteria; Bacillati; Chloroflexota; Thermoflexia; Thermoflexales; Thermoflexaceae
Also listed under: 1 other name
Source: RNAcentral
CCUGGUGACUGGAGCGGCGGGGAAACACCCGGUCCCAUCCCGAACCCGGAAGUUAAGCCCGCCAGCGCCGAUGGUACUGGGGGGGGCGACCCCCUGGGAGAGUAGGCCGUUGCCAGGG